UGAUUAAGCUGCUCCUUGUUCCAUAUUAAUUUGGGAAGGAAAACAGCUUCAUUCUCGCUUUUCCACACUCCCUCCUCUGUGCAGGGCAUGCCCUCGCUGGCGGGGCUUCCAAGCCCAGGCUCUCCUCCCACGCGGGCCCUGCGGGCUUCCGCAGGCAGCACGGGACAGGGCCGCAGACUCUCAGGCAGCCUGUGGUAUGAUGAACUGGUCUGCAAGCAAAGAGCCCACCUCCUCAAUAUUCGUGGGCACUUCCAUAGAGAAUCCUUUAAAAUCUCACUAUGCCCCAGGGACAAAGUGCUCAGCACAGUGCACCACCACACACAUUUGCGUUGCUCAGAAUCCAAGG
This 346-nucleotide long non-coding RNA is filed under the name Homo sapiens (human). RNAcentral's name for it is "non-protein coding lnc-MKI67-5:1". Lineage: Eukaryota; Metazoa; Chordata; Mammalia; Primates; Hominidae. The record is from RNAcentral.